UGGGGAAUAUUGGACAAUGGGGGAAACCCUGAUCCAGCGACGCCGCGUGAGUGAAGAAGUAUUUCGGUAUGUAAAGCUCUAUCAGCAAGGAAGAAAAUGACGGUACUUGACUAAGAAGCCCCGGCUAACUACGUGCCAGCAGCCGCGGUAAUACGUAGGGGGCAAGCGUUAUCCGGAUUUACUGGGUGUAAAGGGAGCGUAGACGGCAAAGCAAGUCUGAAGUGAAAGCCCCGGGCUCAACCCGGGAACUGCUUUGGAAACUGUUUAGCUAGAGUGCAGGAGAGGUAAGUGGAAUUCCUAGUGUAGCGGUGAAAUGCGUAGAUAUUAGGAGGAACACCAGUGGCGAAGGCGGCUUACUGGACUGUAACUGACGUUGAGGCUCGAAAGCGUGGGGAGCAAACAGGAUUAGAUACCCUGGUAGU
This 422-nucleotide ribosomal RNA is filed under the name uncultured Clostridium sp. RNAcentral describes it as "bacterial SSU rRNA". It matches the Rfam family "Bacterial small subunit ribosomal RNA", at positions 355 to 794 of the family's 1533-position model. Lineage: Bacteria; Bacillati; Bacillota; Clostridia; Eubacteriales; Clostridiaceae. The record is from RNAcentral.